Long non-coding RNA from Eriocheir sinensis (Chinese mitten crab), 735 nucleotides. RefSeq lists it as uncharacterized. Lineage: Eukaryota; Metazoa; Arthropoda; Malacostraca; Decapoda; Varunidae. The transcript is spliced from 3 exons. The record is from RefSeq and is a predicted model, not a curated record.
CCAGCCAAUUACAGGGUCUCUGCUGCAGCCGAGGCUUACCACCAAAACUCGACUCAGUCUGCUGAGAGCUGUGUUACAGAUAUUGCGGGUGGAUUUCUAGUAAUUUAAGGGGAACUUCAUUCAAACAACUACGUAAGCUGUGCGUGUUAUGCACCUGUACUGGUGCCCUGCGCAUCAUAUAUCCAGAUCCAGAUCCAGUUGACGAGGCUGAAGAGCAGGCUCCUCACUCCACGGCUUAGGACGACGUGCCACACGACGGCAGCGAGGGAACGUGACGACUGCCUGACGACGGUCGCUCCACGAUGCAGCGGGAAUGUUCCGCAAGACGGCAUGGAUGGCGGGUGACCCCAACAGCUGACGCUCCCCUGAGUGGCAGAAAAACAUGCCAGUACCCAAGACGAGGGUCACGAGGGACUUAUAACUGGAAAUGCUAAUUGUCAUAGAUGUGCGUAUCCUGGGAGUUUCCAAGUUGAGUGCUGUCAUCUUAUCGGCAUCAUCAUCCUGCCCUCCUCCUCCUCCUGGGGACCCAUCACCCGGCAGUGAAAUCCUGUUACUGUGACGGUGGAAUCUGUCAUAGAGUUUCAGCUUUCUUAAAAUUAGAUUAAAAUUUUCCUGUACCAAUAAUACCGUAAAGGUUGCGUAAAGAGAAUGAAUAUGAACAGAGAAACACGGGUGAUUGACGGCAUCUUUUCCCUUCAUAAGUUUGUUGGAUAAGUCUUCCAGAGUUCGCUUCAU